CGUAGGGAGCAAGCGUUGUUCGGAUUUACUGGGCGUAAAGGGCGCGUAGGCGGCGCGGUAAGUCACUUGUGAAAUCUCUGAGCUUAACUCAGAACGGCCAAGUGAUACUGCAGUGCUAGAGUGCAGAAAGGGCAAUCGGAAUUCUUGGUGUAGCGGUGAAAUGCGUAGAUAUCAAGAGGAACACCUGAGGCGAAGGCGGGUUGCUAGGCUGACACUGACGCUGAGUGCGCGAAAGCCAGGGGAGCAAACGGGAUUAGAUACCCCGGUAGUCCUGGCCCUAAACGAUGAAUACUUGGUGUCUGGAGUUCUAAGACUCCGGGUGCCGCCGCUGACGUUUUUAGUAUUCCGCCUGGGGAGUACGCUCGCAAGAGUG
This 373-nucleotide ribosomal RNA is filed under the name uncultured organism. RNAcentral describes it as "bacterial SSU rRNA". It matches the Rfam family "Bacterial small subunit ribosomal RNA", at positions 526 to 896 of the family's 1533-position model. The record is from RNAcentral.